Molecule: long non-coding RNA, 349 nt
Filed under: Rosa chinensis
Lineage: Eukaryota; Viridiplantae; Streptophyta; Magnoliopsida; Rosales; Rosaceae
Description: sRNA RchiOBHm_Chr4g0403721
Source: RNAcentral
GCGGAAGGGAUCAUCGCCCAAAAAGACGUUGUUGCUACGUUCUCUGGCGCCCGUCGCUACUGUCGUAUCCAGUGCCCGUCGUCACUAGUGCAGAGCUAAAGGAUAGACCCGGCGUUGCCGUCUUCUGUUGUUGCUACAAAAUUUGCUUCUUGAGUUCUUGUGGCUUUUGUUAUUUGUUGCUCAAAUAGGAUAACUUGAACCAAGUGGCCGGUGUGUACAGAAAAAUACUCGGACUUGUUGUGGAAGACGAAGACGACGACUUUAGUUAAGCGGUGAAUCUGAAGGUGAGCAUAUGUGAUUGAUGUUAAACUCUGUUGGGUAUGCUUAAAGAGCAAAUAUCGAAACUUAU